GUUUUCAUGAGUAGAAGGGCCAUAGAAGAGAGAGAGAAAGUGGAAAAAAAAGGCCAUGGGCUUUAUUCUCGCCGGCAAUUGCGAGCCUUAACCUCGACUUUUCCUUUCGCUCGGCGUUAUCUCAAUUUUGCAGGUCCAGUUUUGAAGGUCGCUAAUGGGAUCUGUUCUAGCGACGUCUGGUGGUGCUCGUUGGGUGCUGGUUGGUGACUUUUCGGUACCAGUAUCUGAUGAGAUACCAUUGGUGGCUCCAUGACUAUAACAGACUGAAUGCGCCAUGGGCCUACCGUCUCUCUUCAGGUCGCGGACGGUGAAUUCUUGAAGUCUCUAGUUGAAUAUCGGUGGUAGCUAGUUCUGAUAGCUCUUUCGUGCGAUUUGUGCAUGUCAAUCUUAGCUGGUAUGCUUUCUCGUUUCUCCAUCUAUUCUUCUGGAUUUUGGUUGAUUUCUUUAAUCGUUGGUUUGCAUGUUGGCGAUUGGGCGAUUUGGCGAUAGCUUUCGGUUAUCGCGUGGGUCUCUGAGUUGUCGGUUGAUCUGCUUCCCAUUGCCGACUAGAUGUAUGACUGGCGGUGUUUGUCGGUUGGGCGGUGUCGAUCGAUCAGCGAACUAAAUAUCAAGACUGUCCAGAAUUUUCAGUUGGAUUUGGGCUGUGAUUUUGGGUUGGACUUUUGAUUCAUUAUGUUAUGGGCUGGGUUAAGUGUGUGUAAACUUGGGUUCUGUCUUUGAGUUGUCUUAUGCACUUAUCUGCUGGGCUUUAAAUGUAAUUAUCUACUUGCAUGUUAAAAAAAAAAAAAAAAGACAUGACCACGGUUUGGUUCAGACCGGAAAUCAAACUAAAAUCAAAUCGAUCAAAUUUAAAAUCAAAAUGAUUA
Manihot esculenta (cassava) is the source of this 866-nucleotide long non-coding RNA. RefSeq lists it as uncharacterized. NCBI's taxonomy places the organism in Eukaryota, Viridiplantae, Streptophyta, Magnoliopsida, Malpighiales, Euphorbiaceae. The record is from RefSeq and is a predicted model, not a curated record. The transcript has 2 exons.